UACGUAGGGGCGAGCGUUGUCCGGAAUGAUUGGGCGUAAAGGGCGCGUAGGUGGUUUGUCACGUCGUCUGUGAAAUUCCGGGGCUUAACCUCGGGCGUGCAGGCGAUACGGGCAAUACUUGAGUGCUGUAGGGGAGACUGGAAUUCCUGGUGUAGCGGUGAAAUGCGCAGAUAUCAGGAGGAACACCAAUGGCGAAGGCAGGUCUCUGGGCAGUUACUGACGCUGAGGAGCGAAAGCAUGGGUAGCGAACAGGAUUAGAUA
RNAcentral lists this ribosomal RNA (261 nucleotides) under uncultured prokaryote. Its description in RNAcentral is "partial 16S ribosomal RNA". It matches the Rfam family "Bacterial small subunit ribosomal RNA", at positions 524 to 784 of the family's 1533-position model. The record is from RNAcentral.